Molecule: ribosomal RNA, 946 nt
Filed under: uncultured Bacteroidota bacterium
Lineage: Bacteria; Pseudomonadati; Bacteroidota
Description: bacterial SSU rRNA
Rfam family: Bacterial small subunit ribosomal RNA
Source: RNAcentral
UACGGAGGAUGCGAGCGUUAUCCGGAUUUAUUGGGUUUAAAGGGUGCGUAGGCGGACAAAUAAGUCAGUGGUGAAAACCUGCAGCUUAACUGUAGAUGUGCCGUUGAUACUGUUAGUCUUGAGUGUGGUCAAGGUAGGCGGAAUGUGUAAUGUAGCGGUGAAAUGCUUAGAUAUUACACAGAACACCGAUUGCGAAGGCAGCUUGCUGGGCCAUUACUGACGCUGAUGCACGAAAGCGUGGGGAUCGAACAGGAUUAGAUACCCUGGUAGUCCACGCCGUAAACGAUGAUCACUCGCUGUUGGCGAUACACAGUCAGCGGCUAAGCAAAAGCAUUAAGUGAUCCACCUGGGGAGUACGGCCGCAAGGCUGAAACUCAAAGGAAUUGACGGGGGCCCGCACAAGCGGAGGAACAUGUGGUUUAAUUCGAUGAUACGCGAGGAACCUUACCUGGGCUUAAAUGUAGAGUGCAUGAGUGGGAAACCAUUCUUUUCUUCGGAACUCUCUGCAAGGUGCUGCAUGGUUGUCGUCAGCUCGUGCCGUGAGGUGUCGGGUUAAGUCCCAUAACGAGCGCAACCCUUAUCGUUAGUUGCCAGCGGGUCAAGCCGGGAACUCUAACGAAACUGCCGGUGUAAACCGAGAGGAAGGUGGGGAUGACGUCAAAUCAGCACGGCCCUUAUGUCCAGGGCUACACACGUGUUACAAUGGCCGGUACAGAGGGCAGCUACCUGUUGACAGGAUGCGAAUCUCGAAAGCCGGUCUCAGUUCGGAUCGGAGUCUGCAACUCGACUCCGUGAAGCUGGAUUCGCUAGUAAUCGCGCAUCAGCCAUGGCGCGGUGAAUACGUUCCCGGGCCUUGUACACACCGCCCGUCAAGCCAUGGAAGUUGGGGGUACCUGAAGUCCGUAACCGCAAGGAGCGGCCUAGGGUAAAACCAGUGACUGGGGCU